RNAcentral lists this ribosomal RNA (460 nucleotides) under uncultured bacterium. Its description in RNAcentral is "SSU rRNA". It matches the Rfam family "Bacterial small subunit ribosomal RNA", at positions 26 to 518 of the family's 1533-position model. The record is from RNAcentral.
AGAAUCAACGCUGGCGGCGUGCCUAACACAUGCAAGUCGAACGAGAAAGUGGAGCAAUCCAUGAGUAAAGUGGCGCACGGGUGAGUAACACGUGACUAACCUACCCUUGAGUGGGGGAUAACCUAGAGAAAUCUGGGCUAAUACCGCAUAAUACCUUCGGGUCAAAGGAGCAAUUCGCUUAAGGAGGGGGUCGCGGCCGAUUAGUUAGUUGGCGGGGUAAUGGCCCACCAAGACUAUGAUCGGUAUCCGGCCUGAGAGGGCGCACGGACACACUGGAACUGAAACACGGUCCAGACUCCUACGGGAGGCAGCAGUGGGGAAUUUUGCGCAAUGGGGGAAACCCUGACGCAGCAACGCCGCGUGGAGGAUGAAGUCCCUUGGGACGUAAACUCCUUUCGAUCGGGACAUAAUGACGGUACCGAGAGAAGAACGCCCCGGCUAACUUCGCGCCAGCAGCCGC